CCCCGCAGGAGGAUCCCGCUACACGCCGAGCAGAAGCGUCGCUGAGUCGGUGUGAGGACGGUCGAUGUCGCGCCACGGAGCGGACAGAAGCUUCACGCGGGAUUUACUGAGCCGCAGCUGGACUCGACUAUUCGAAGGAGCCUGCGGGCGAUGCGGAGGUUCACAUCGGCUCAGACACGCUGAUUCGAACUCUGGUUAGAGAGCUGAGCGCCGACUGUGGAGCAUCAGCCGCAGCAGCCCCUUCCCUGUGAGAGAGACCAAACCAUUCAACAACGUCGAAAGUUGCUUACUUCAAGAGGAAAUAUGCGGAGGAAGAGGAUCUACGUGGAGGCCUACAUGGAUAUUUUCAAAAACACCUGAUACUGCAGGAGGACCGGAGCUGCAUCCUGAAGCUGUCCCUGGAGAAGCUGAGGUUCCUGGAGGACCCUGAGGCCUAUCUGAGGCGCUCCGUCCUCAUCAACAACCUGCUGAGGAAGAUCCACCAUGAGGAGGAGGAGCUGGAGGCCGAAGAGGAGGAGGAAGAAGAAGAUGAAGUAGAAGAAGAGGAAGAGGAGGAGAAGGAGGUUAUUGGAGAGAGGGAGCAGCGGAGGCUGUUGUACCCGGACAGGACGAGGGUGAAGGUGCUGGUGAUGGACUGCUGCUCUCCAGCGUUUGGCCUGGAGGAGCUGCAGCAUUACCGGCUGGUGCCCUGUUACCCAUCAGCUGAAUGCCUGUGCAGCCUGGGUACCUGCCCGGGCCUGGCCCCCAAUCAUCAGGUACUUCUGUACAACCUGGACGACAACAGCUGACUGUCCAGACGUCACUUUUACGCCUCUUUUAUAAGCUGGGAAAUGCAAUGUCGACCUCCCUGAGAGGAAAGCUGCCGCGGUUUCCCUGAGGUUUCCACCAGAGGGACUUGUGUCGUAGGGUCCGUUUGACUCGUUGCCAGGAUGUCACGUCCUCUCGUCACCUUUCUAAGAGGCAGCGGUGGAUUUGAGACACUGAGAAACCCUGAUUCUUUUUCUGCCUCAGGAUCAAGAGGGUCUCUGAUGAUGAUGUCAAAACUGUUGCAGCGUCACUGCCAUUUCCCACAAUGUGAGAGACCUGAAGCAGGCACGAAUUGUUUGCUGUAAGUGUUGUGUCAUUUAUUUUUUAUUGUCACUGUUGCUCAUGUGAACCGUGAGCAUAUUCAGGGAUUUACAGACCGCGGGCGACUUUUGAUGCACCUUGGCUUGCGUGGAGAAUAUGCGCUGAUAUUGCUUCUGUUAUCUUUUCAUGCCGCUGUGUGAUUAAUAAAAUAUUCGGUGUAAUAUUCCCCAGACUGUGUGAACUGCCCCGCCAUCACUGCCUGUGGGAAGACUGUUCCCCUCUCUGUAUUUAAUGUCCCGUGUUCAUUCAAUAUGCUGUCACUCGUUUUCGUUUCGUAUCACUUUGCUGCCCUCUGCUGGUGAAAGAAUUCAAUCUGCAGACCUUUUUCUCUGCACUUGUGCUCAAAUCUCUCAAUGCAAGUGAAUGAUUAAAAAGGAUGGUAACUGUUCAGCAUAUGUAAGCAAAUGGUUUGGAACACACCAUAAUGAAGUUGUAUGCAGAUAAAAGUGUUUAUUCAUGUAUUUGUCAACUUAGAAAACUACAAAUAUAACAGCAUAAAUACUUAUAGGUAAAGGGGAGGUAAGAAUUGCUGACAGAUACUCUGCAUUUAUAAACACUUAAAAUGUCUUUACAUCUGUGUACAAAUACAUUAUAAUGUGUUAAAUAUAUUAAAUGUUUAUGCUACUUGUAUUAGAUAGUGGGCAUUCAAGUAAAGUUUUACCAAAAAGGAGAUAAUCUUUCUUUGCUGUUUUCCCUUUACAGCUAUGGUGAAUGAAGUCAUGAUUUGCCUUUUUGUGGUUUUAAAAAAGGUAACUUGUGUAUCCUCUAAUUCUCUUCGGCUCUAAGAAAUCCGAUUUUUUUAUCUGCUACCAAGUGAUUUGCUUGCAAAUGAUUCUCAGCCUUCUGGUGCUUCAAAGCUGGAUUUCAGAGAGCAGAAUGUCUGUAAAUCGAUAUUAUAUUCUAUAUUUUCUUGCUGUCACUCAUGACACUCCUGGUUUUGACAGCAGCUGCA
Long non-coding RNA from Scatophagus argus, 2080 nucleotides. RefSeq lists it as uncharacterized. NCBI's taxonomy places the organism in Eukaryota, Metazoa, Chordata, Actinopteri, Scatophagidae. The transcript has 4 exons. The record is from RefSeq and is a predicted model, not a curated record.